Molecule: unclassified non-coding RNA, 338 nt
Filed under: soil metagenome
Description: partial contains 5.8S ribosomal RNA, internal transcribed spacer 2, and large subunit ribosomal RNA
Rfam family: 5.8S ribosomal RNA (bases 1-120)
Source: RNAcentral
GAUGAAGAACGUAGCGAAAUGCGAUAAGUAGUGUGAAUUGCAGAAUUUAGUGAAUCAUCGAAUCUUUGAACGCACAUUGCGCCCUUUGGUAUUCCUUAGGGCAUGCCUGUUCGAGCGUCAUCUACACCCUCAAGCACAGCUUGGUGAUGGGCGCCUGUCCCGCCCCCCACGGGGGCGCGGACUCGCCUCAAAUGCAUUGGCGGCCGGCGACCUGGCUUCGAGCGCAGCAGAAACGCGUACUCGGGGACCGGGCGCCCGCUCCCAGAAGCCAACCCACCCAGUUUGACCUCGGAUCAGGUAGGGAUACCCGCUGAACUUAAGCAUAUCAAUAAGCGGGA